AAGUCGUAACAAGGUUUCCGUAGGUGAACCUGCGGAAGGAUCAUUACAAAUCCACCACGUCUCUCUCCUUUCGAGACCUCGUUGAACGUGUCACACACAGGAAGAGCGAGCAGGGGAAGAGAGAGAGAGAGAGAGAGAGAGGGCUGCCUGCGUAUGCGCGCGCAUGCUCUCUUGCUCUUGCUCUUGCUCUUGCUCUUGCUCCUGCUCCUCUCUUCCUUGAACUUUUCUAGUUUGAUAUCAUGUUGGUUGUCAGUAGUGUGUUAUACUCUUCUUCUCCUCCCCUUUUUCCUUUUUCCUUUUUCCUUUUUCUUCUUCUUGGCUUGCCUGACAAGCCAAGCAAGCAGCGAAAAUGAAAGAGAGAGAGAGAGACAAAGAGAGAGAGAAAGAGUGUGUACCAUGUAACAACUUAUAACAAUGGAUCUCUAGGCUCUU
RNAcentral lists this unclassified non-coding RNA (432 nucleotides) under fungal sp. RNAcentral describes it as "partial internal transcribed spacer region". The stretch from base 1 to 46 matches the Rfam family "Eukaryotic small subunit ribosomal RNA", at positions 1786 to 1831 of the family's 1831-position model. Lineage: Eukaryota; Fungi. The record is from RNAcentral.